UACAGAGGUCCCGAGCGUUGUUCGGAUUCAUUGGGCGUAAAGGGUGCGUAGGCGGUGGGGUAAGUCGGAUGUGAAAUCUCAGGGCUCAACCCUGAAACUGCAUUCGAUACUGCGUGGCUAGAGUGCUGGAGGGGAGACUGGAAUUUACGGUGUAGCAGUGAAAUGCGUAGAUAUCGUAAGGAAGACCAGUGGCGAAGGCGAGUCUCUGGACAGCAACUGACGCUGAGGCACGAAGGCCAGGGGAGCAAACGGG
This 253-nucleotide ribosomal RNA is filed under the name uncultured bacterium. RNAcentral describes it as "partial 16S ribosomal RNA". It matches the Rfam family "Bacterial small subunit ribosomal RNA", at positions 524 to 776 of the family's 1533-position model. The record is from RNAcentral.